RNAcentral lists this ribosomal RNA (857 nucleotides) under Microbacterium foliorum. RNAcentral's name for it is "bacterial SSU rRNA". It matches the Rfam family "Bacterial small subunit ribosomal RNA", at positions 41 to 906 of the family's 1533-position model. The record is from RNAcentral. Lineage: Bacteria; Bacillati; Actinomycetota; Actinomycetes; Micrococcales; Microbacteriaceae.
GUUACGGAUGUUACCUGCAAGUCGAACGGUGAACACGGAGCUUGCUCUGUGGGAUCAGUGGCGAACGGGUGAGUAACACGUGAGCAACCUGCCCCUGACUCUGGGAUAAGCGCUGGAAACGGCGUCUAAUACUGGAUACGAGUAGCGAUCGCAUGGUCAGCUACUGGAAAGAUUUUUUGGUUGGGGAUGGGCUCGCGGCCUAUCAGCUUGUUGGUGAGGUAAUGGCUCACCAAGGCGUCGACGGGUAGCCGGCCUGAGAGGGUGACCGGCCACACUGGGACUGAGACACGGCCCAGACUCCUACGGGAGGCAGCAGUGGGGAAUAUUGCACAAUGGGCGGAAGCCUGAUGCAGCAACGCCGCGUGAGGGAUGACGGCCUUCGGGUUGUAAACCUCUUUUAGCAGGGAAGAAGCGAAAGUGACGGUACCUGCAGAAAAAGCGCCGGCUAACUACGUGCCAGCAGCCGCGGUAAUACGUAGGGCGCAAGCGUUAUCCGGAAUUAUUGGGCGUAAAGAGCUCGUAGGCGGUUUGUCGCGUCUGCUGUGAAAUCCCGAGGCUCAACCUCGGGCCUGCAGUGGGUACGGGCAGACUAGAGUGCGGUAGGGGAGAUUGGAAUUCCUGGUGUAGCGGUGGAAUGCGCAGAUAUCAGGAGGAACACCGAUGGCGAAGGCAGAUCUCUGGGCCGUAACUGACGCUGAGGAGCGAAAGGGUGGGGAGCAAACAGGCUUAGAUACCCUGGUAGUCCACCCCGUAAACGUUGGGAACUAGUUGUGGGGUCCAUUCCACGGAUUCCGUGACGCAGCUAACGCAUUAAGUUCCCCGCCUGGGGAGUACGGCCGCAAGGCUAAAACUCAAAG